Molecule: ribosomal RNA, 250 nt
Filed under: uncultured bacterium
Lineage: Bacteria
Description: partial 16S ribosomal RNA
Rfam family: Bacterial small subunit ribosomal RNA
Source: RNAcentral
UGGGGAAUAUUGGACAAUGGGGGAAACCCUGAUCCAGCCAUGCCGCGUGUGUGAAGAAGGCCUUCGGGUUGUAAAGCACUUUAAGUGGGGAGGAAGGCUCGCUGGUUAAUAGUCAGCGGGAGUGACGUUACCCACAGAAUAAGCACCGGCAAACUCCGUGCCAGCAGCCGCGGUAAUACGGAGGGUGCGAGCGUUAAUCGGAAUUACUGGGCGUAAAGCGUACGUAGGCGGUUUGUUAAGUCGGAUGUGA